ACUCCCCAGGCGGGGUACUUAUUGCGUUAACUCCGGCACAGAAGGGGUCGAUACCUCCUACACCUAGUACCCAUCGUUUACGGCCAGGAUUACCGGGGUAUCUAAUCCCGUUCACUCCCCUGGCUUUCGCGCCUCAGCGUCAGACACAGUCCAGAAAGUCGCCUUCGCCACUGGUGUUCCUCCUAAUAUCUACGCAUUUCACCGCUACACUAGGAAUUCCACUUUCCUCUCCUGCACUCAAGAAAUGUAGUUUCCAUCCCAUCACGGGGUUGAGCCCCGAACUUUUAAGACAGACUUACAUUCCCGCCUGCGCGCGCUUUACGCCCAAUAAUUCCGGACAACGCUUGCCACCUACGUAUUACCGCGGCUGCUGGCACGUAGUUAGCCGUGGCUUCCUCCUCAGGUACCGUCAUUACUUAACAUUAUUCACAUUAAGCACAUUCGUCCCUGAAGACAGAGCUUUACGAUCCGAAAACCUUCUUCACUCACGCGGCGUUGCUCCGUCAGACUUUCG
RNAcentral lists this ribosomal RNA (514 nucleotides) under uncultured bacterium. Its description in RNAcentral is "partial 16S rRNA". The record is from RNAcentral.